AAAUGGAAUGGGCAAACUCAGCCGAAAGGUGAGGACGCAAAGCCAUGGGUCUAAAGGGUUAGCUACCGAUGACUGCCAGGCUGCGAUU
Molecule: non-coding RNA, 88 nt
Filed under: Propionispora hippei DSM 15287
Lineage: Bacteria; Bacillati; Bacillota; Negativicutes; Selenomonadales; Sporomusaceae
Description: GEMM cis-regulatory element
Rfam family: c-di-GMP-I riboswitch aptamer
About the family: GEMM was predicted in a large-scale screen for bacterial structured RNA regulatory elements. Genes associated with GEMM are involved in a diverse array of functions, including chemotaxis regulation, signal transduction, secretion and chitin.
Source: RNAcentral